Long non-coding RNA from Triticum aestivum (bread wheat), 5103 nucleotides. RefSeq lists it as uncharacterized. NCBI's taxonomy places the organism in Eukaryota, Viridiplantae, Streptophyta, Magnoliopsida, Poales, Poaceae. The record is from RefSeq and is a predicted model, not a curated record. The transcript has 2 exons.
UCGGGGUGAGUGAGCGCCCUCUCCUCGCGCGCCGUGUGCGCGUCGCGGGGAAGGACGAUAGGUCAUGUCCUCGACAGCCCCUCACCCUUUCCGCACGCCCGCACGCCGCAUCCCCUCCCUCCUCGAUCUCUCUCCCUCAUCAGCCGCCAAAGCAACAAACCCUAGCCCACUUUCUCCACGGUUCCCCAUGGUCGUCGUGCCUCUCACUCCUCCCUCCUGCCUCAUCCUCCUUCCCUCCUUAGAUGCCAUGGUGGCAGCCGGGCCAGGGCAGGGGAAGAAAGCCGUGGGGAGUCCGCCGGCAGGAGGAAGUAGUAGAGGCUGGUGGAGUGACGGAUGCCGAGGGCCUCGUCCAGGCGGCCGCCGCCGGCCUCAGACCCGCCGCCUCCCGCCAUGACGAGCUGUCCCGCGCCGUGCGCGCGGUCGACAAGGAUCUCCGGGGCGCCGCCGCCGGCCAGGAGGAGAACGAGAUGGAACGCCAACAUUCGCUUGGCCGAGGCUUGCUUGGGGAGCCGUCGACAAGCCGGCGGGGUGAGCUACUGUCUGGUCCCCUGUUGCCGGCGACUGUGGUGUCGAGCAAGAGCGGGUCGUGUCAUCAUGGGAAGAGGCUCAAUGGCUCACCAUCGAAGAGCCAUCGUAGGAGCCACAAUGUCAAAAAAGCUACAGACGGGAGGAGGUCGGGAUGGAACUACCUCUUCCCCAUGUGAGCUCUCUCUUCUAGCUCCCGCUCCACCUCUCCUCAUGCUCCCUCUCCCCCCUGCCCUCCUCUGUUAGGUGAUUCAUCCUCUUCUUUUCCUUUCAGAGAGAUGAUGAGGUCUAGCUAGGUAUCUCCUAGGGGGAUUUUUAUUUCUUUUUUUCUACCUGAUGCUCACAUCUAGCUAGGCUUCUCUGGAGGAAUUUUUUUUGUUUCGUUGAUUUUGUUGCGUACCUCACAUAUGUUCCUGCAAAGGGGAUUCUGUCUCUUCCUAUUUAGAAGAUGCUCUCGGAUCUAGCUAGAUUACUAGAAGGCUUUUUGUUGUCUUUUUGGCUGUUUGGCACCUGGCUUUUUCCUCAUCGAGAAGGGGGGCGGAUUUGUCCUAGAGCUGCUUUCUUUACAUAUGAGGCUUUUGUUCGUUUGCCUAAUGUGUUACCCUCCUUUCAAUUGUAGGACUUUCAGGAUAGACCUUCCUAUCAAUUUUUAUUCGAUAAACUUAACAUAUCUCAUGGAAAUUCUGGUAUGAGAUGUGUUUUUUGCAGUGGCUGUUCUUGCAUAUUUGUGCGUUGUAGCAGAUUUAGUGACAAAAACAUUUUUAAGUCCUGGAGCAUCAGUAUAUUUAAAUUUAUUUUCCUUUUGCCCAUUUUGUUUGAUGUAUUUUGUCAAGAGGAAUUGAUUCUGUACUUGAUAUGCGAGGAGCUCAUGAGUUCGUGUCGCUGCUGUACGUCGUCUCUCCCUCCUCCCGGCUCUCAACAGGAGCAGUGCAGACCCUCCACAACUGAGGAUACCUAGAACGGUGAGACUAUAUGGACAAAGUAAUACAAAAUUCAGAUUUUAGAGCAUCAUGCCAUUGUUUAAUCUACUUCUGUAGCAAAUAUCUUCGUGAGACUGUAUGGACAAAGUAACAGAAACUUCACACUUUUGAUCAUGUGAAUUGAUUGAGAAUCUAUUGUCCUUGUAUUACUACUUUUCUGCUGUUUGGACUGUAAUAGAUUCGUCUAGAGCAUUCAGGUUUCCAGUAUUCGAAGUACAUUACAUGAUUCGGUCCUAUUUAGCUUGAUAUCCUAUAAUACAACAAAGGUUGAAGCGUAGGUUUCUUUACCUGUACCUACGAUGGUCCUGUCUGUUAUCAGCUUAAACUGUAAUUUGCAUUAGCAGACAGACAAUGGAUGUUACGGGUUCAUAACUUUUUGUUAUAUUUGAAUCGGUAUAUUAGGUUAAGGGUUGCUAAAUUGAAAAACAUGUGGACGGAAUUUCACUUUUUCGUGUAAGAAGGAUUAGUGAACCUCCAUGUAGAACAAUAUUCAACCAAAAGGCAUGCCAAUUUGGUGUCACAAUAUGUUUUUAUUUUUCUUCUUAGUCAAGCAUUCCGGCAUGUCAAUUUAAUUUUCUCUUUCUUUGCUUCUGCAGUACGGUCCUACUCUUGACAUUGAUUUGAAAAAAUGAUAUGUGCGGAUCUUAGGAAGAACAUAUAAAGUUAAAUUUGGUGGUGUUGCUUCUGUGAGUGACUCAAUCUGAUAUGUCUAAUUCUGGCUUUAUGCGGUACCAUGAUCUUAAAAUUUGUUACUAAAGAUACAUGAUGUUUAUGCUCUAUUAGAUUGUUUUAUUCCUUUGUAAUUUGGAUCUAAAGUAUAGUUUCAGAAUGUGGUUGUUUUGCAUCUGUCAAGCUUGCCGCUGUUACUUAUAACCGUCCUUUUGUCCUUGAUUGUUACUUUCUCAAAUUUUUUGUUCCCAAGUUUGUCGUUGUGGUUGCGGAAUGGCGCACAGCAACUGGGAAGCGGACUAAAGCCAUGGCACUAGUGGUAGCUCUUCGAUGGAGCGCCUCCUGCCAUGAAGGCACAACCAGCGGCUCCCCACGAUACACAACACCGGGAUGAUGAGGUAUGCCAUGGAAUGGUUGGGUUUUGAGUGGUAGGUGAUCCCUAUGCCGGCUGUGAUAGCGGCCAUCAUUGGUAUACAACAAUGCAGCGAUUGUCUCGGGUGUGCUCCUAUCCUCCCCACUUCCCCUAGAUGCACAAUGUUAGGAAAACUAAUGAUUUUGUUCUCGGAUGUUCAUACAUAAUCUAGGUUGUUAUUGAGCUCCACGGCUGGCCUUAGAUUGGCUAUUCAGCAUCGGCACACUUUACUCAAAUCUAUACCAUAGGAACCUGUGCUCCAGUCUGACGAAGCAGCCAAGCUGUAUAUACACAUCUUUGCUUCCUGAUCCAUUUUGUUUUGCGAUUCAGGCCACCCCUAAUGGUCAGGCUGAUGCUUCUUCGCUUGAUUCUGAAGAAAAGGAUGAUCAGAUUCAGAUCCCCAAGAACAAUAGGUGAUGCAUCUUCUCUUGUAUCUUUAUCUGUGUACUUUAAAUUCACAUGGACAGUCAAAUUGUCUGUAUAUACACACCUUGAAAUUAAGAAACUUUGGUGGUGCAAAGGGAGUUGGGACAGGGAAGAAAUUAAAGCAGUGACUGCUCUGCACUAGCUGUACAGGGAUUAAAAGCCUAUAGGUAUAGCAAUAAAUUCCCUUCUGAUGUUCAAGUUAAAUUUCUUUGUUGAAGAUAUAGCUGGAAGUUAUGUUCUGAAUUUGAUUCUUUAAACUACAGGCUAUUUUGUGUAUUAAUCUCUUCAUUUUUUUCCUACUACACUUGCCUAAAUUGAGAUAAGCUGGCACAAAAGAUUGGAUCUUUGUAGUGCGUCUGCUCAUCAGUAGAGAUUACAUAGUAGGUAGUAGGGACACCAUAAUAUACUAUCUUCUUAAUUUAGUAUUUUCUUUUAGAACAUAUAAGUACAUUCAGUAAUAUGUGUCUUGUUUUACUUUGUCCGCGGUGACUGGAAGUAUUCUCGGCUUUACCAUCAGUAAAAAGAAGGCAUACAAAAAAUUAAGUUUUUUCCUUAGUUGCCUCAUUUAAUUGUCGCUUAUUUAUUUCAAGUUAUUCAAUUCUUAUGGAGCUUUCCUUUGCUAAAGAAGAAAAGAGGGGUUGUCAGGUCAGACUUUGGUGCGUCUCUGACUAGAGAUAGCUGGAUCCGUGUGACGCUCUCCCAAAUAGUGCAGAUUCACUGACUGGUACAACCUCUAUACCUUUGCUACUCUAGCUUCUUUUUACAUUUCUUAGUAUCAACAAAAUAAGUUGGCCCCAGUAUAUACUUGAAGAUUGCAUCUGGUACAAAAUUGUUGGCUGACUAAAAUAAUUAGGUAUACUGCUCAUCUAUCUUUUAGAAAUAGAUAAUGGUAAUUUUUUCUAACGUUGGCCCACCCGGUUAUUUGAGUUGUGUCUAUGAAGGGUCCGUAGAGUAGUUGCUUUGAAAAAACCAGGAGUACCAAUUUGGUUGCCAUGCGAUUGUAAGGCCAGAAUGGUGGUACUGAAAAGUGGUCUGUAAUGGUCAUCUGUGUUCUAGAGUUGGAACUUUGAUUCUUUUGAAGCUGGAGUAGCUAGGUUGUCUAUACAUACAUGCCACCCACUAAAUUCAGAUUUCAGUAUACUGUUUAGAAUACCACUUGCUUUCACUAUAAGUACUGGACUACUAUGAGUGUCGUCGCCUUCGUCGAUGAGAGGACGAGAGCGGCAAUAGCACUAGCCAGCGAGGCAGGCUGCUUGGCUCUGGGGCCGACACACACUGUCCACUUCCGUUGGGCUGAUCUGCCACUUCAAAAACUUAUGGUGGCCAUAAGAAAUCUCAAGAGCUUAUUGUGAUGAUUUAAAUGUAAGCAGUUUCCCUCGUUGUGCUUCUGUGCUUCUAUGUCUUUCGUGGUCUAUUCUUAGUGUAUGGAAUGGUUAUAUUAGCCCUGUAGUUUACUUUAACUUUUGAAUCUUGAUGCAUCGAAAAUAGUUGUAAACUGAGACCUUAUUUCUGUGGGUGAAAGAAUAGAUGCACACUGGCUCUUGUUGUUUUUGAUUAUUGAAAGAUACACAUUUUGGUUUGCAUUAAUGGUGGUUAAAGUAUAAAAAUGGUAGUAAAACCAACAUCCAACUUUCUACAUCUAAAAUUUUGGAUUGUCGUGCCAAAAAUAAACAGUAAAGAAGGAUAAAUCUCCUUCAAUAUUCAGUUGGUACGCAGCUGCAGCUUCUAUGUCAUAUUUGGAAGCUACUCUAUGUGAUUUUUUGUGUAGUUCGUGAUCAAAUGAAGAUAGAAUUUUUAUGAAUAUAACAUGUGCAACAUGCUACUAACCGAGUCAAGUUUGUUUGAAUUUGUUCACUUUGUAGUCAGUGGAAAUAUGGAUGUCUUAUGCACUUUUCCUGCGAAAGAUGAACUUCAUGUUGCUUGCUAUGAAGAAAUGAGGUGUUUGCCUGGUUGUAAAUUUCAUGCUGAUGUUAUUGUAAUUAUGUUAUGUUCUCUAAAGAAACAUGGGGUCGGAUCCAAUAGGUUAAGAAAAAGAGCAUUGUUCAGCUACGACAAUAGUCAAUGAAGAGCUAAUCGAAGACAUUUCCUGAU